CCUACGGGGGGCUGCAGUGGGGAAUAUUGGACAAUGGGCGCAAGCCUGAUCCAGCCAUGCCGCGUGUGUGAAGAAGGCCUUCGGGUUGUAAAGCACUUUCAGUGGGGAGGAAGGGGUUGUAGUUAACAGCUGCAAUUUUUGACGUUACCCACAGAAGAAGCACCGGCUAACUCCGUGCCAGCAGCCGCGGUAAUACGGAGGGUGCAAGCGUUAAUCGGAAUUACUGGGCGUAAAGCGCACGCAGGCGGCUUUUUAAGUCGGAUGUGAAAGCGCCGGGCUCAACGUGGGAAUUGCAUCGGAUACUGGGAAGCUAGAGUAUGUGAGAGGGGGGUAGAAUUCCAAGUGUAGCGGUGAAAUGCGUAGAGAUUUGGAGGAAUACCAGUGGCGAAGGCGGCCCCCUGGCACAAUACUGACGCUCAGGUGCGAAAGCGUGGGGAGCAAACAGGAUUAGAUACCCCGGUAGUCUA
RNAcentral lists this ribosomal RNA (467 nucleotides) under uncultured bacterium. RNAcentral's name for it is "bacterial SSU rRNA". It matches the Rfam family "Bacterial small subunit ribosomal RNA", at positions 338 to 797 of the family's 1533-position model. The record is from RNAcentral.